Molecule: long non-coding RNA, 904 nt
Filed under: Sorghum bicolor (sorghum)
Lineage: Eukaryota; Viridiplantae; Streptophyta; Magnoliopsida; Poales; Poaceae
Description: long non-coding RNA (SBIC_LNC010309)
Source: RNAcentral
AAGUUGAGCUGCUGUUUAUCUUGUUCCUACUACACUAAGUUCUGGAGAUUUAUUUUGAAAACUUACAAAUCACAUGAUGGGUUCCUAGCAUAACGAACUACCUACCACAGCCAUACUUGCUAUAACAUCUUUUACUUUACAUUGAGUUUGAUCGAGCUGUGUAGACCCUUAGGAGCUUUUCAUGUGGUUAAAUUAAGAUAUUCACUUGCACACAUCUACUACACCAUUCAUCACCAAUCAUUAAAAUUGCUAAAAAAUAUUAUCACUCACUACCCCAAAUAUUGUUAUUCUCUCUCUCUAAAAAGAUUCAAUGCAGAAGAGGCAUGGGUUAUGCAAAAAUAUGCGAGGAAAUAAAAAGGGGCAAGUGCCCGGAACCUCGAAAAAGAAAGAAAAAGAGUGAGACGAGAGGUAAAAAUGGACAAGUGUCCGAAGUAGAAUUAGGGGUACAAAGACGCCCACUUGAGAGGUAAAAAUAGACAAGUGUCCGACAGUAGAAUUAGGGGUAUCUACUACCCAUCUAAAAAAAAGAGAAAAAGAUAGCCCAUGUUCUCCCAAAGCAAAGAUCAAAGAGGAGGAGAGAUAGCAAUAUGAGGAACAAUGAGAAGUAAGUUUUAUUAUCACUUAUAUAUCUUCACCAUCACUAUCAUUUACUCCAUCACACAUGCACAUCUUGAUUUAAUUAUAUGUUGAGUUCCUUUGGAUCCAUGGCUCGAUUAGACAACAUAUGUAUGAGCUGUUUUUCACUCCUAUGAGCUCCACUUAAACAUUCCAUUAGCUAUAGGUAAGUGACAUUAUGGUAAGGAUCCACAAAUACCACAUAUAGAGAGACUUGAGAGAUUAUUGCUGGGAACUCUGAGUUUUAUUUUGAAAACUUAUGAAAAACUCUGGAACAAAGGUGAAGUAU